This 411-nucleotide ribosomal RNA is filed under the name Verrucomicrobiota bacterium. Its description in RNAcentral is "Verrucomicrobia bacterium partial 16S ribosomal RNA". It matches the Rfam family "Bacterial small subunit ribosomal RNA", at positions 355 to 776 of the family's 1533-position model. Lineage: Bacteria; Pseudomonadati; Verrucomicrobiota. The record is from RNAcentral.
UGGGGAAUCUUGCACAAUGGGCGAAAGCCUGAUGCAGCGACGCCGCGUGCGGGAUGAAGGCCUUCGGGUUGUAAACCGCUUUCAGCAGGGACGAGGCCGCAAGGUGACGGUACCUGAAAAACAAGCCACGGCUAACUACGUGCCAGCAGCCGCGGUAAUACGUAGGUGGCGAGCGUUAUCCGGAUUUACUGGGUGUAAAGGGCGUGCAGGCGGGCUGAUAAGUCAGAUGUGAAAUCCCCGAGCUUAACUCGGGAACUGCAUCUGAUACUGUUGGUCUUGAGUGCUGGAGAGGAUAGUGGAAUUCCUAGUGUAGCGGUAAAAUGCGCAGAUAUUAGGAGGAACACCAGUGGCGAAGGCGGCUAUCUGGACAGUAACUGACGCUGAGGCGCGAAAGCGUGGGUAGCAAACAGG